GACGUAGGGCGCGAGCGUUGUCCGGAUUUAUUGGGCGUAAAGAGCUCGUAGGCGGCUUGUUACGUCGACUGUGAAAACCCACGGCUCAACCGUGUGGUCUGCAGUCGAUACGGGCAGGCUAGAAUUCGGUAGGGGAGACUGGAAUUCCUGGUGUAGCGGUGAAAUGCGCAGAUAUCAGGAGGAACACCGGUGACGAAGGCGGGUCUCUGGGCCGAUAUUGACGCUGAGGAGCGAAAGCGUGGGGAGCGAACAGG
RNAcentral lists this ribosomal RNA (254 nucleotides) under uncultured bacterium. RNAcentral describes it as "partial 16S ribosomal RNA". It matches the Rfam family "Bacterial small subunit ribosomal RNA", at positions 524 to 776 of the family's 1533-position model. The record is from RNAcentral.